This 253-nucleotide ribosomal RNA is filed under the name uncultured bacterium. Its description in RNAcentral is "partial 16S ribosomal RNA". It matches the Rfam family "Bacterial small subunit ribosomal RNA", at positions 524 to 776 of the family's 1533-position model. The record is from RNAcentral.
UACAGAGGCCCCGAGCGUUACUGAGAAUCACUGGGUUUAAAGGGUGCGUAGGUGGCGCGUUAAGUCCGUUGUGAAAGCCCUGGGCUCAACCCAGGAACUGCUUCGGAUACUGGCGCGCUUGAGGCUAGUAGGGGUUACUGGAACUGACGGUGGAGCGGUGAAAUGCGUAGAUAUCGGGAGGAACACCAGUGGCGAAGGCGGCUUCCUGGCCUGUUCUUGACGCUGAGGCGCGAAAGCUAGGGGAGCAAACGGG